GCUGAAGAAAAGAAUAAGAUUUUAAUGGACAAAGAAGAAUUUUUGAAGGAAAAGAAAGUUUUGGUUGAAGAAAAUGAAAACUUUUUGAAAUCUAAAAAAUUCUUGAUAGAAGAAAAUGCUAAACUAAAAAAAGAAUCUGAAAAAUUAAAAGUUUUAGUGGAAGAAAAAGAGAAUUAUUUGAAAGAAAUGAAUGUAGAAAAGAG
RNAcentral lists this long non-coding RNA (203 nucleotides) under Elaeis guineensis (African oil palm). RNAcentral's name for it is "long non-coding RNA (EGUI_LNC027894)". Lineage: Eukaryota; Viridiplantae; Streptophyta; Magnoliopsida; Arecales; Arecaceae. The record is from RNAcentral.